This is a non-coding RNA of Tachyglossus aculeatus (Australian echidna), 73 nucleotides long. The record is from the annotation of a RefSeq genome assembly. Lineage: Eukaryota; Metazoa; Chordata; Mammalia; Monotremata; Tachyglossidae.
CCUUCGAUAGUUCAGCUGGUAGAGUGGAGGACUGUCGCUCCUUAGGUCACUGGUUUGAUCCCGGUUCGAAGGG